GAUGAACGCUGGCGGCGUGCUUAACACACGCAAGUCGAACGAAGCAUUUGCGACAGAUUUUUUCGGAAUGAAGUUGCUUAUGACUGAGUGGCGGACGGGUGAGUAACGCGUGGGUAACCUGCCUUGUACUGGGGGAUAGCAGCUGGAAACGGCUGGUAAUACCGCAUAAGCGCACAAUGUUGCAUGACAUGGUGUGAAAAACUCCGGUGGUAUAAGAUGGACCCGCGUCUGAUUAGCUAGUUGGUGAGAUAACAGCCCACCAAGGCGACGAUCAGUAGCCGACCUGAGAGGGUGACCGGCCACAUUGGGACUGAGACACGGCCCAGACUCCUACGGGAGGCAGCAGUGGGGAAUAUUGCACAAUGGAGGAAACUCUGAUGCAGCGACGCCGCGUGAGUGAAGAAGUAAUUCGUUAUGUAAAGCUCUAUCAGCAGGGAAGAUAGUGACGGUACCUGACUAAGAAGCUCCGGCUAAAUACGUG
This 481-nucleotide ribosomal RNA is filed under the name uncultured bacterium. RNAcentral describes it as "partial 16S ribosomal RNA". It matches the Rfam family "Bacterial small subunit ribosomal RNA", at positions 28 to 507 of the family's 1533-position model. The record is from RNAcentral.